GGUUAAGCGACUAAGCGUACACGGUGGAUGCCCUGGCAGUCAGAGGCGAUGAAGGACGUGCUAAUCUGCGAUAAGCGUCGGUAAGGUGAUAUGAACCGUUAUAACCGGCGAUUUCCGAAUGGGGAAACCCAGUGUGUUUCGACACACUAUCAUUAACUGAAUCCAUAGGUUAAUGAGGCGAACCGGGGGAACUGAAACAUCUAAGUACCCCGAGGAAAAGAAAUCAACCGAGAUUCCCCCAGUAGCGGCGAGCGAACGGGGAGCAGCCCAGAGCCUGAAUCAGUGUGUGUGUUAGUGGAAGCGUCUGGAAAGGCGCGCGAUACAGGGUGACAGCCCCGUACACAAAAAUGCACAUGCUGUGAGCUCGAUGAGUAGGGCGGGACACGUGGUAUCCUGUCUGAAUAUGGGGGGACCAUCCUCCAAGGCUAAAUACUCCUGACUGACCGAUAGUGAACCAGUACCGUGAGGGAAAGGCGAAAAGAACCCCGGCGAGGGGAGUGAAAAAGAACCUGAAACCGUGUACGUACAAGCAGUGGGAGCACGCUUAGGCGUGUGACUGCGUACCUUUUGUAUAAUGGGUCAGCGACUUAUAUUCUGUAGCAAGGUUAACCGAAUAGGGGAGCCGAAGGGAAACCGAGUCUUAACUGGGCGUUAAGUUGCAGGGUAUAGACCCGAAACCCGGUGAUCUAGCCAUGGGCAGGUUGAAGGUUGGGUAACACUAACUGGAGGACCGAACCGACUAAUGUUGAAAAAUUAGCGGAUGACUUGUGGCUGGGGGUGAAAGGCCAAUCAAACCGGGAGAUAGCUGGUUCUCCCCGAAAGCUAUUUAGGUAGCGCCUCGUGAAUUCAUCUCCGGGGGUAGAGCACUGUUUCGGCAAGGGGGUCAUCCCGACUUACCAACCCGAUGCAAACUGCGAAUACCGGAGAAUGUUAUCACGGGAGACACACGGCGGGUGCUAACGUCCGUCGUGAAGAGGGAAACAACCCAGACCGCCAGCUAAGGUCCCAAAGUCAUGGUUAAGUGGGAAACGAUGUGGGAAGGCCCAGACAGCCAGGAUGUUGGCUUAGAAGCAGCCAUCAUUUAAAGAAAGCGUAAUAGCUCACUGGUCGAGUCGGCCUGCGCGGAAGAUGUAACGGGGCUAAACCAUGCACCGAAGCUGCGGCAGCGACACUAUGUGUUGUUGGGUAGGGGAGCGUUCUGUAAGCCUGUGAAGGUGU
Molecule: ribosomal RNA, 1218 nt
Filed under: Escherichia coli
Lineage: Bacteria; Pseudomonadati; Pseudomonadota; Gammaproteobacteria; Enterobacterales; Enterobacteriaceae
Description: partial 23S ribosomal RNA
Rfam family: Bacterial large subunit ribosomal RNA
Source: RNAcentral